This is a long non-coding RNA of Osmerus eperlanus (European smelt), 914 nucleotides long. RefSeq lists it as uncharacterized. NCBI's taxonomy places the organism in Eukaryota, Metazoa, Chordata, Actinopteri, Osmeriformes, Osmeridae. The transcript is spliced from 3 exons. The record is from RefSeq and is a predicted model, not a curated record.
AAGGACUCUCUGGUGGCAAGGAAUCUGUAGGAAAAGAGAUAAUUUGUUAACUGGUGUGCAACAUACAUGAGUUAUUGUUACUGAAAAAAAAAGUAUGUUAUUCAAUUAUCUGGCAAUUUAUGUCAACAGUUGUGAAGUGCCAAGGUCGCUGGAGGGACCUAAGGGACCAAUAAAAAAAAUAAAAAAAGGUUCAACCACGGAGUGGAUCGGCAGCAGGACCAAAGGAGUGGAAAUACUCCCAAGCCCUUUCCUUCCUUGUUCCCCACCUUCAACCCAGGAGCUCUAGAAGCAGCCUAGACCAGGUUGAUGUGGAUGAUUGGGAGGCAUUGGACCUGAGCCAUGGAGAGGAUGUGCGGGAUGAAAAUGACCAACAGUCAGCUGAUCAACAUUUUCAACCUGGUUCUUCAACCAGCAGGCAGCCCUACAACAGACCUGCCGCGCGCAAGAGGGUCUCAGCACCUGCGGUGUCAUUGGAGGAUAGGCUGCUGGCUAUGGUCCAGGAGCCUCCACAACCGAUGUUCCAUCAUGUGCCACAAGAAAAGGAUGAGAUGUUGCAUUUUGCCCUCAGUCUGGUGCCAUUGUUAAAUAAAUUAAGUGGCAGGGGUAAAUUAAGGGCAAAAAUUGCCCUCUUAGAAAGUCUCCAGGGUGUCCAUGACCUGGAUCAAGGGCACCGGCAGGCGCAGAUGCAGGGCCCUGGUCUAAUGACAUGGGAUCAGACAUCCCAGAAAUCCCACCAGAGCCACCCGAGUCAAGGAUUGUAUGCACCACACUCGCAUGCACAGUUACACAGGUACAGACCAAGAAGUGAGGAGACUUGGGGGGAAUGUGGUGAAAGUACUGUGCCUUCACCCAUCCCUCACUUUACAGACCUAUAGAUCAAUAAAUUGACUUUGUAAAUCAUUAUUUCCUUUGUG